CGUCUGUUGCGUAGGUGACCUGCGGAAGGAC
Molecule: ribosomal RNA, 31 nt
Filed under: Bryoria sp. Hur CH050187
Lineage: Eukaryota; Fungi; Ascomycota; Lecanoromycetes; Lecanorales; Parmeliaceae
Description: partial 18S ribosomal RNA
Source: RNAcentral